AGAAGAGUGUAUCCUGUCAUUUCAGUUUUACUGACCUGAGGCCCAGUGGGGCCAACCCACGGCAGUGUCUGGGCUCAUUAGGGUAGAAGGACGACAUGGGCAUGGCCCUGGCCUGGCCACGUUACUCUGUAGAGCCACUUUUGCUCACAGCAUUACCAGCCUCACACGGCCCUGACUGCGUCCACACUGCAGAAGCAGGCCUUGGUAGGAGUCAGCGUGGCUCGUGGGAGCUGGAGGUCAGGGUGUGAUCUCUGGGCUGUUAGACACGUCCCUGUGGUUGAAACACGUACAUGAAAUAACAGUGAGAUGCGCCUGUCCCCUCCGGGACACGAGUGCACAGCCCACUGUGCGAGCUCCUGGGCGGCAGCCCCACUGUGCUUGUGGUUUGUCUUCUAGGAGUGGACCACUUCUUGUACGGCCUCUCGGAUGAGAUGAAGCAGGCCCACAGGGAGCAGCUCUUCACCCUCAGCCACGACAAGCUCCUGGCCGUGAGUGAUAGGUACCUCGGCACUGGGAAGAACACGCAUGGCCUGGCCAUACUCAGACCCGAGAACCCCAAAAUCACCAAGGACCCAUCCUGGAUCAUCAGAUGAGCAGCCCUGGUGCCCCUGACUGUGCAGGAGCUCCUGAGACAAUAGGCCUCUAGAGCUGAAUAUGAAAAGUCAGAAAUGCUACCGCUUUUUCCAAGAAUAUUGUGUCAUUCUUAAGGUGUAGCCACUGACUGGCAAGUCAAUCUUGAGUGACCAGGAAGACGUUCAUUGAAAUAGUCAUGCACAAAAUGCCAAAGAUGCACCACAUAGAAUUUUCACUUUCUACUGACAGAAAGGCUUGUUUUACCUCAUUAGUUCUAGAACAUUUAUAUAAGAAUCUAAAAAUAAAGGGCAACUCUGACUUAA
Long non-coding RNA from Piliocolobus tephrosceles (Ugandan red Colobus), 896 nucleotides. RefSeq lists it as uncharacterized. The transcript is spliced from 2 exons. Lineage: Eukaryota; Metazoa; Chordata; Mammalia; Primates; Cercopithecidae. The record is from RefSeq and is a predicted model, not a curated record.